RNAcentral lists this transfer RNA (72 nucleotides) under Nelumbo nucifera (sacred lotus). It matches the Rfam family "tRNA". From Rfam's summary of the family: Transfer RNA (tRNA) molecules are approximately 80 nucleotides in length. Their secondary structure includes four short double-helical elements and three loops (D, anti-codon, and T loops). Lineage: Eukaryota; Viridiplantae; Streptophyta; Magnoliopsida; Proteales; Nelumbonaceae. The record is from Rfam by way of RNAcentral.
UCCGUUGUCGUUCAGCCGUUAGGAUGUCUGGCUUUCACCCAGGAGACCCGGGUUCGAUUCCCGGCAACGUAA